AAUAGAUACCCCGGUAGUCCAUGCCGUAAACGAUGUCUACUAGCCGUUGGGGCCUUUGAGGCUUUAGUGGCGCAGCUAACGCGAUAAGUAGACCGCCUGGGGAGUACGGUCGCAAGACUAAAACUCAAAUGAAUCGACGGGGGCCCGCACAAGCGGUGGAGCAUGUGGUUUAAUUCGAUGCAACGCGAAGAACCUUACCUGGUCUUGACAUACAGAGAACUUUCCAGAGAUGGAUUGGUGCCUUCGGGAACUCUGAUACAGGUGCUGCAUGGCUGUCGUCAGCUCGUGUCGUGAGAUGUUGGGUUAAGUCCCGCAACGAGCGCAACCCUUUUCCUUAUUUGCCAGCGGGUUAAGCCGGGAACUUUAAGGAUACUGCCAGUGACAAACUGGAGGAAGGCGGGGACGACGUCAAGUCAUCAUGGCCCUUACGACCAGGGCUACACACGUGCUACAAUGGUCGGUACAAAGGGUUGCUACCUAGCGAUAGGAUGCUAAUCUCAAAAAGCCGAUCGUAGUCCGGAUUGGAGU
RNAcentral lists this ribosomal RNA (528 nucleotides) under uncultured bacterium. Its description in RNAcentral is "bacterial SSU rRNA". It matches the Rfam family "Bacterial small subunit ribosomal RNA", at positions 777 to 1304 of the family's 1533-position model. The record is from RNAcentral.